CGGAAUUCAAAAUCAGAAAUAAUCCCAAGUUUGAGUCAUCCAAUGUGCUUGUCUACAUUGAUUGCACUCACCAGAUAAAAGUCCAAUGCACUCUGUGGGGUGAAACAGCCUCUGUCUCAGGUUGGGAGUUGCUGCCAUGGAGACCACAAGAGUGGAGAUUUUCUGACACACAGAAAGGAAUGGAUUACAGCUCCUUCUUAUGUAAAUUUCCAUGGAGGGGAAAAAAGAUUAAAAGGAAAAUAAUUCUGCUUUAGUCGUUUUCCUUUAAGGUGAUAAGAUCCUUUGAUUCCAUCGUGGAGAAGAAGGCAACAGCUGUUUGUCACAAAUGGUCCAAAAUGGCUGCUAAAAUUCCUGCCACUACAUCUGGAUCCCAGGCAGCAGGAAGGAGAAAUGGAAGAAGACCUGUCCUGUCCCUGAGACAAUGCCAUUCAGCAUGUUCCAUACAAUAUCUCUGCUUAUUGAUCACUGGCCAGAACUUGACAGAGAUGAACAAUGAGGCUUUUUUGUUCUGCUUUUUAUGUUCUGCUACAGACAAAAAGAAAAAAAAGCGUAUGUAUUUAUAGUCUACUUGAUUUUAAUAAAGGAUUGAGUGCAGCCUAAGGCAUGUGCAUGUUAUCCUGUAGGUAACAGGGGCCACAAAUGGGUUGUGGCUAAUGGAACAUGGCUGAAGGGUCUGUGCCAGUUCUGAGCCUCAGGAGGCACUGCUGUUUCUUCUUGCCCUUCUGGGACUUUUGCCAUGGGAAGAACCCACAGUCUUGGGGUCUUUUUCAGCCUGGGUUCCAGAAUGAGAUGCAUUCUGAACAUGAAGGUGGGGCAGAUCUGAACUUGACCCAUCACCUGAAGCCAAACUGUCCAAACCACCUCUCAAAGCUAUGAGCAACAAAUAAAUGCUUAUUUUGU
Molecule: long non-coding RNA, 900 nt
Filed under: Homo sapiens (human)
Lineage: Eukaryota; Metazoa; Chordata; Mammalia; Primates; Hominidae
Description: HSALNT0349484
Source: RNAcentral